UCGAACGAUGAAGCCUUUCRGGGUGGAUUAGUGGCGAACGGGUGAGUAACACGUGGGCAAUCUGCCCUUCACUCUGGGACAAGCCCUGGAAACGGGGUCUAAUACCGGAUAAUACUUCUGCCUGCAUGGGCGGGGGUUGAAAGCUCCGGCGGUGAAGGAUGAGCCCGCGGCCUAUCAGCUUGUUGGUGAGGUAGUGGCUCACCAAGGCGACGACGGGUAGCCGGCCUGAGAGGGCGACCGGCCACACUGGGACUGAGACACGGCCCAGACUCCUACGGGAGGCAGCAGUGGGGAAUAUUGCACAAUGGGCGAAAGCCUGAUGCAGCGACGCCGCGUGAGGGAUGACGGCCUUCGGGUUGUAAACCUCUUUCAGCAGGGAAGAAGCGCAAGUGACGGUACCUGCAGAAGAAGCGCCGGCUAACUACGUGCCAGCAGCCGCGGUAAUACGUAGGGCGCAAGCGUUGUCCGGAAUUAUUGGGCGUAAAGAGCUCGUAGGCGGCUUGUCGCGUCGGUUGUGAAAGCCCGGGGCUUAACCCCGGGUCUGCAGUCGAUACGGGCAGGCUAGAGUGUGGUAGGGGAGAUCGGAAUUCCUGGUGUAGCGGUGAAAUGCGCAGAUAUCAGGAGGAACACCGGUGGCGAAGGCGGAUCUCUGGGCCAUUACUGACGCUGAGGAGCGAAAGCGUGGGGAGCGAACAGGAU
This 699-nucleotide ribosomal RNA is filed under the name Streptomyces sp. ME-841. RNAcentral's name for it is "bacterial SSU rRNA". It matches the Rfam family "Bacterial small subunit ribosomal RNA", at positions 62 to 778 of the family's 1533-position model. Lineage: Bacteria; Bacillati; Actinomycetota; Actinomycetes; Kitasatosporales; Streptomycetaceae. The record is from RNAcentral.